AACAUGUCUUUUUGAUUAUAAUUUAAGGUUUAAUCUGCUCAAUGAUUAUUUAAAUUGCCGCAGUAUUUUGACUGUGCAAAGGUAGCAUAAUAAUUAGUUUCUUUAUUGGGAACUGGAAUGAAUGAUUGGACGAGAAAAUUUCUGUCUCUUUAUUAUUUUAAUUGAAUUUUACUUUUAAGUUAAAAGGCUUAAAUUUUAUUAGAGGACGAGAAGACCCUAUAGAGUUUAAUUUUUAUUUAAAUAAUUAUUUUUAGUAUUUAUAUAUAUUAUUUAAAUAAAAAUUUAGUUGGGGUGACUAAAAGAUAAGAAUAACUCUUUUAAUUUUUAUCAAUUAUUUUUGAUUAUAAAAUCUUUAUUUUUAAUUUUAAAAUAAAUUACCUUAGGGAUAACAGCGUAAUUCUUUUUUAAAGUUCUUAUUAAAAGAAGAGUUUGCGACCUCGAUGUUGGAUUAAAAUUAAUUUUAGGUGUAGAAGCUUGAAAAUUAAGUCUGUUCGACUUUUAAAAUUUUACAUGAUCUGAGUUUAAACCGGUGUGAGCCAGGUUGGUUUCUAUCCUUAAUUAUAUAUUAUACUUU
This 574-nucleotide ribosomal RNA is filed under the name Pteroptyx tener. RNAcentral describes it as "partial large subunit ribosomal RNA". It matches the Rfam family "Bacterial large subunit ribosomal RNA", at positions 1812 to 2663 of the family's 2925-position model. Lineage: Eukaryota; Metazoa; Arthropoda; Insecta; Coleoptera; Lampyridae. The record is from RNAcentral.